RNAcentral lists this ribosomal RNA (326 nucleotides) under Hydrochus flavipennis. RNAcentral's name for it is "partial 12S ribosomal RNA". Lineage: Eukaryota; Metazoa; Arthropoda; Insecta; Coleoptera; Hydrochidae. The record is from RNAcentral.
UUUAAGUAUAAAUAUGUAAUAAAAUUAGUAUUAGUUAUGUUCUUGAAAUUUAAAGAUUUUGGCGGUAUUUUAGUCUUUUCAGAGGAACCUGUUCUGUAAUCGAUAGUCCACGAUUAAUAUUACUUAUUUUAAUUAGUUUGUAUAUCGUCGUAGUUGAAUAUUUCAUUAGGAUUUAAAUAUUCAAGAUUUAAAAUAAUAAAUUAAAUCAGAUCAAGGUGCAAUUUAUAAAUAAGAAGAGAUGGGUUACAAUAAAAGUAUUUAUAUGAAUAAAUUAAUGAAAAAGAUUUUGAAGGUGGAUUNGAAAGUAAUAAAAUNNAUUUAGAUUU